UUUUGUGGCGAUGAGGAUACAAAAGCUCCCUCUUCUGAAUUAAAGCUGAGGACGCUUGCUGGCAGAAUCGAACCAAUUAUUAACUUUGCCA
Molecule: small nucleolar RNA, 91 nt
Organism: Salvia hispanica
Lineage: Eukaryota; Viridiplantae; Streptophyta; Magnoliopsida; Lamiales; Lamiaceae
Product: small nucleolar RNA R30/Z108
Source: RefSeq, a predicted model, not a curated record